GUGCUUGGUUUGGCAGCACAUAUGCUAAGAUUAGAAUGAUACAGAGAAGAUUAGUAUGGCCCCUGCACAAGGAUGACACAGAAAUUCGUGAAGUCUUCCAUGUUUAA
Small nuclear RNA from Choloepus didactylus (southern two-toed sloth), 107 nucleotides. Lineage: Eukaryota; Metazoa; Chordata; Mammalia; Pilosa; Megalonychidae. The record is from RefSeq and is a predicted model, not a curated record.